Molecule: ribosomal RNA, 512 nt
Filed under: uncultured bacterium
Lineage: Bacteria
Description: partial 16S ribosomal RNA
Rfam family: Bacterial small subunit ribosomal RNA
Source: RNAcentral
GACGAACGCUGGCGGCGUGCCUAAUACAUGCAAGUCGAGCGGAACUGGGGGAGCUUGCUCCUUCCAGUUUAGCGGCGGACGGGUGAGUAACACGUGGGCAACCUGCCCUGCAGAUCGGGAUAACUCCGGGAAACCGGCGCUAAUACCGAAUAGUUUGGCGCCUCUCCUGAGGCGCUACGGAAAGACGGUUUCGGCUGUCACCGCAGGAUGGGCCCGCGGCGCAUUAGCUAGUUGGUGGGGUAACGGCCCACCAAGGCGACGAUGCGUAGCCGACCUGAGAGGGUGACCGGCCACACUGGGACUGAGACACGGCCCAGACUCCUACGGGAGGCAGCAGUAGGGAAUCUUCCGCAAUGGACGCAAGUCUGACGGAGCAACGCCGCGUGAGUGACGAAGGUUUUCGGAUCGUAAAACUCUGUUGUGAGGGAAGAACACGUACCAACUAACUAUUGGUACCUUGACGGUACCUCACCAGAAAGCCACGGCUAACUACGUGCCAGCCGCCGCGGUAA